Molecule: long non-coding RNA, 775 nt
Organism: Cygnus olor (mute swan)
Lineage: Eukaryota; Metazoa; Chordata; Aves; Anseriformes; Anatidae
Exons: 5
Source: RefSeq, a predicted model, not a curated record
GAGAAAUGGAUUUGUGAUACCUUUUUACUGGAAAACCAAAAAGGUUCAAGGAGGAAUGUUGCUAUAGUUCCAGUACAUCUUUACAAUAAGAGGUUUCGUACAGCUCUGGUCAGCAUUACCGUAACUGGUCAUGGGUGAGUUGUUCAUAGCUGUGGGUUCUACUGCACCAGCCCUCAUCAUGCCAAGCCUGCAGUCCUCUGCUCUGCAACCUGUGUCCUCACUUCUCAAGGCGUGCGUAAUGAUGCAGACUGCAUCAUUAUGAUGGUGUAAUUUGCUUCCUGCUGUUUUAAGGGUUGUCUUCAUCCUGAGAUCUCUGAUAGAUAAACUGAACAAAGAGAACAAAAAUUGAUUGACUGUAUGUGACUUUGGGAAUACUUGCAAUGGGCUAAGAAUGUCCAUUUAAACAUGCCUGUAUAAGCAGAUAUAGGCAGUUAUGUACUAGCUCUUCCAACAUUCUGGACUGGCUAGUCACAAGUCAUCUCUGGACCAGAUGGUGCUCUGAAGAGAAUAUGAAUGACUUGCUUGGACAUCACACAGGAAAACUGAAGAAAAACUGUUUUAUCUCCUAAAGUGUGGGCUAACACAAUGACUGUUAAACAACUCUCUCUCUUCUUUACUUGACAUUGUGGUAUACAAUUAUGAAACUUGGUAUUUGUGUCCUCUUAAGCUAUGUUUUUGUCUGCAAUCACUGGAACAGUACUGAAGUGUGUUGGUGACUCUUUGCCUUCAGGAAGGUAGAGGAGUAAAAUGCUUCUAAUUAAAAUAGAAUCAUUAA